Molecule: non-coding RNA, 1873 nt
Organism: Elaeis guineensis (African oil palm)
Lineage: Eukaryota; Viridiplantae; Streptophyta; Magnoliopsida; Arecales; Arecaceae
Source: RefSeq, a predicted model, not a curated record
ACACCAACCUCUCGACAAAACCACCCACCCCACCGCUCUCCCGUCCUCUCUUUCUCUCUCUGUCCAUCUUCCCGUUCUAUUCGAUGAUGACUAUGGUAAUGGACCAACAGCAACAGCCACAGCAGCAGCAGCAGCAGCAGCAGCAGCAGCAGCAGGCCUACAUGCACUACUGCCGGAUCUGCAAGAAGGGGUUUGGCUGCGGCCGGGCUCUUGGCGGCCACAUGCGAGCCCAUGGCAUCAACGACGACAUCCAUACCGACCCGCACGACGACCCGCCUUCAAGCCAAUGGGACGACAGACUCGAUCCCCCCGCCGGCCACAAGCGCAUGUACGCCCUCCGCACCAACCCCAACCGCCUCAAGAGCUGCCGCGUCUGCGAGAACUGCGGCAAGGAGUUCCUCUCCUGGAAGUCCUUCCUCGAGCACGGCAAAUGCAGUUCCGAGGAGGACGCCGGCGAGGACUACUCCCUCGCCUCCUCCCCUCGAUCCGAUGCCGAUGACGAUGACCCCGUCCCAGGGUCCGCCGGCUGGUCUAAAGGGAAGCGGUCGCGCCGGGCCAAGGCCGUGUCGACGCCGGUCUGCCCCUCGAGCGAGGAGGAGGACCUCGCCAACUGUCUUGUGAUGCUCUCGGCCGCCCGCGUCGAUCCGGUGGCCAUCGUUGAGACCGAGGAGUCGUGCGCGUCCGCCAGCAAGGAAGAAGAUCGGCGGCAGCAUCCGAUCGCGGUCACCGCCACCACCGAGAAGCCUAAAGCCGCCGUGUUCCCGCCCCCGGCCGUCCCGAGGGGAAUGUUCGAGUGCAAGGCUUGCAAGAAGGUCUUCAGCUCCCAUCAGGCCCUGGGCGGCCACAGGGCCAGCCAUAAGAAGGUCAAGGGUUGCUUUGCCGCCAAAAUCGACGACCUGGAAGAGGCCCUGCCGGACGACGAGGUGAUCACUCAUGACAACAACAACAGCGAGAUGGCGGCAGCGGGGAUGGCGAUGGCGAUCGUGCCAUUCGACAACACCCCGCUGGCCAUCAUGCCGCUCAAGAAGAAGUCCAAGGUGCACGAAUGCUCGAUAUGCCACCGGGUGUUCGCUUCAGGGCAGGCGCUUGGAGGGCACAAGCGGUGCCACUGGAUCACGUUGAAUGCACCGGACCCCGCUGCGGUUGCGAAGCUCCAUCCGUUGCCGCCAGGCCACGCCGCCGGAGGCGUCCACCCCCAGUUGACGCUGAGGCCCAUGUUCGAGAGCUCCGACACUCUCGACCUCAACCUCCCGGCUCCGAUCGAGGACCUUGCCGGGGUCCAGCAGGACAUAGGGAGCCCGUUGCAACUCGAUGUGCCGGCGGGGCUAUACGUACAGCCAUGGAUCGAUCAUAGCAACACCAACACCAAUGCCGAUAUCAACACCAACGAGAACAAAGCCACUACUAGCAGUAACAACAACAACAACAGCGUGGACAUCCGGGAACACAACAAUGAGCCAAUAACUAAUGCGAAUGUGGAUGACGAGGCGGACAGUAAGGUAAAGCUAGCGAAGCUGAGUGAGCUCAAGGACAUCAACAUGGGAGGGGAGAGCUCUCCUUGGUUGCAGGUGGGGAUUGGGUCAUCUACCAAGGAGGAUACUGGACCAUGAGGACGUACGUACAGGAAAAAAUUAUCUCAUUCCAUUUUGAAGAACUGUGCGUUGUACAAGGGGCUAUUGUACUGAUGGAUUCCACACCAAAGACAAAGCACACCUAAAGGAAAAGGGACAUUGGACUUGCCCCCACUGUAUCCGAGGAGUAUUGUGGUGAGAAUCGAUCAGUUCAGAUUUGGUAUGGGGCCUAUGAGCAGUUAGGGAGUCCCCAGCAAUGGAAUCCUUUGUUUUUAACAAUUUAUUAAACUGCACUACCUUUU